UACGUAGGGCGCAAGCGUUAUCCGGAAUUAUUGGGCGUAAAGAGCUCGUAGGCGGUUUGUCGCGUCUGCCGUGAAAGUCCGGGGCUCAACCUCGGAUCGGCCGUGGCGACUCGUGGGCUGGAGCACUGUAGAGGCGGGUGGAAUUCCGGGUGUAGCGGUGGAAUGCGUAGAGAUCCGGAAGAACACCAGUGGCGAAGGCGACCCGCUGGGCAGUGGCUGACGCUGAGGCGCGACAGCGUGGGGAGCAAACAGG
This 253-nucleotide ribosomal RNA is filed under the name uncultured bacterium. RNAcentral's name for it is "partial 16S ribosomal RNA". It matches the Rfam family "Bacterial small subunit ribosomal RNA", at positions 524 to 776 of the family's 1533-position model. The record is from RNAcentral.